AGCAGCCGCGGUAAUUCCAGCUCCAAUAGCGUAUAUUAAAGUUGUUGCAGUUAAAAAGCUCGUAGUUGGAUUUCGGAAGGUCCUUAGUGGUCCGCCCCUUCGGGGAGCGGGUCACUGGCCUCCUAUGUUCCUAACGGUCCUCAUCCGCGAGGGUGGGGAAUCAACCGCUAGGAUCGUUUACUUUGAGGAAAU
RNAcentral lists this ribosomal RNA (192 nucleotides) under uncultured Pacispora. RNAcentral describes it as "partial 18S ribosomal RNA". It matches the Rfam family "Eukaryotic small subunit ribosomal RNA", at positions 569 to 766 of the family's 1831-position model. The record is from RNAcentral. Lineage: Eukaryota; Fungi; Glomeromycota; Glomeromycetes; Diversisporales; Pacisporaceae.